RNAcentral lists this ribosomal RNA (460 nucleotides) under uncultured bacterium. RNAcentral describes it as "partial 16S ribosomal RNA". It matches the Rfam family "Bacterial small subunit ribosomal RNA", at positions 338 to 795 of the family's 1533-position model. The record is from RNAcentral.
CCUACGGGAGGCAGCAGUGAGGAAUAUUGGUCAAUGGACGAGAGUCUGAACCAGCCAAGUAGCGUGAAGGAUGACUGCCCUAUGGGUUGUAAACUUCUUUUAUAAAGGAAUAAAACGAGGCACGUGUGCCUUUUUGCAUGUACUUUAUGAAUAAGGAUCGGCUAACUCCGUGCCAGCAGCCGCGGUAAUACGGAGGAUCCGAGCGUUAUCCGGAUUUAUUGGGUUUAAAGGGAGCGUAGAUGGGUUGUUAAGUCAGUUGUGAAAGUUUGCGGCUCAACCGUAAAAUUGCAAUUGAUACUGGCAGUCGUGAGUACAGUUGAGGUAGGCGGAAUUCGUGGUGUAGCGGUGAAAUGCUUAGAGAUCACGAAGAACCCCGAUUGCGAAGGCAGCUUACUAAACUGUGACUGACAUUGAUGAUCGAAAGUGUGGGUAUCAAACAGGAUUAGAUACCCUUGUAGUC